GAUGAACGCUGGCGGCGUGCCUAACACAUGCAAGUCGAACGGAGUCCAGCCUUUAAGACCUUCGGGUCAAAGAGAGGAAGACUGAGUGGCGGACGGGUGAGUAACACGUGGGCAACCUGGCUCAUAGAGGGGGAUAACAGAGAGAAAUUUCUGCUAAUACCGCAUAAGCACACACUGCCGCAUGGCAGAGGGUGAAAAGAGAAUCGCUAUGAGAUGGACCCGCGUCUGAUUAGCCAGUUGGCAGGGUAAGAGCCUACCAAAGCGACGAUCAGUAGCCGAUCUGAGAGGAUGAACGGCCACAUUGGGACUGAGACACGGCCCAAACUCCUACGGGAGGCAGCAGUGGGGGAUAUUGCACAAUGGGGGGAACCCUGAUGCAGCGACGCCGCGUGAGUGAAGAAGUAUUUCGGUAUGUAAAGCUCUAUCAGCAGGGAAGAUAAUGACAGUACCUGAAUAAGAAGCCCCGGCUAACUACGUG
Molecule: ribosomal RNA, 478 nt
Filed under: uncultured bacterium
Lineage: Bacteria
Description: partial 16S ribosomal RNA
Rfam family: Bacterial small subunit ribosomal RNA
Source: RNAcentral